UAUACAGUGGUACCUCGGGUUAAGUACUUAAUUCAUUCCGGAGGUCCGUUCUUAACCUGAAACUGUUCUUAACCUGAAGCACCACUUUAGCUAAUGGGGCCUCCUGCUGCUGCUGCCGCACCGCCGGAGCACAAUUUCUGUUCUCAUCCUGAAGCAAAGUUCUUAACCUGAAGCACUAUUUCUGGGUUAGCGGAGUCUGUAAACUGAAGCAUAUGUAACCUGAAGCGUAUGUAACCUGAGGUACCACUGUAUUACAACUUCACACACCUCACUAUUUUCCUUUGUGUGUUGUGGGGAACUCAUUUAUAAAUAAGCAGUGGCUGAAACAAAUUUUCCCACCUAUUUGGAAGUCAGUAAUUACAAAUGGAACCCUGCAACUAAAUGUUACCAUGUUGAAAGUUCAGGCUUUCAGCUACUCCAUUCCACCUUAUUCCAUCCACCAGCCCCAGUCCUUUCCUACUGCCUUCAACAGUCAGUACAGAGCAUGGUAAGUCCUUUCCCCACCCCAUUAUUUAAGGGAUUUUUGAGAUAGAGUGGACCCACUUGUGCCUGGUCCCACCUACACUGAAUUCUUUCAUUUUCAUUGAUCUCUCUGCGGAGCACUCUUUCCACGCCUGGGCACAUUUAAGUGACCUGUCCAGACAACAGCACACAAUUUAUCUACGUUUCUCUGUCUUUCAUUAAAAACUUCCCUGAACUAAGCCUUCAGAUGGUUUGUAACAGUCAAAUAGUAGUUAGUAUCUGUUUGACAUUUGAUGGGAAGGUGUUCCACAGGGUGGGCGCCACUACCAAGAAGGCCCUCUACCUGGGUCCCUGUAGCUUCACAUCUCGCAAUGAGGGAACCACCAGAAGGCCUUCGGAAGUGGACCUCAGUGUCCGGGCUGAACAAUGGGGGUGGAGACGCUCUUUCAGGUAUAUAGGCCAAGGCCGUUUAGGGUUUUAAAGGCCAGCACCAACACUUUGAAUUGUGCUCGGAAACUUAUUGGGAGCUAGUGUAGAUUCUUUAGGACUGGUGUUAUAUGGUCCUGGCGACUGCCAUCAGUCACCAGUCUAGCUGCUGUAUUCUUGAUUAGUUGUAGUUUCCAAGUCACCUUCAAAGGUAGCCCCACAUACAGCGCAUUGCAGGAGUCCAAGCGGGAGAUAACCAGAGCAUGUACUACCCUGGUGAGACAAUGCACAAGCAGGUAGGGUUUCAGCCUGCGUACCAGAUGGAGCUGGUAGACAGUCGUUCUGGAUGCAGAACUAAUCUGUGGACAGCUGUGAUGCAGAACUAAUCUGUGGACAGCCUCCGUGGACAGCUGUGAUUCCAAAAUGACCCCCAAGCUGCGCCCCUGGUCUUUUAGGGCAGGCAUAGCCAAAGUUGGCCCUCCAGCUGUUUUGGGGACUACAACUCCCAUCAUACCUAGAUAACAGGACCAGUGGUCAGGGAUGAUGGGAACUGUAGUCCCAAAACAGCUGGAGGGCCAAGUUUGGCCAUGCCUGCUUUAGGGGCACAGUUACCCCAUUCAGGACCAGGGAGUCCCCCACACCUUCCUGCCCCCUGUCUCUCAGAAACAAUACUUCUAACUUGAUGGAACCAUUCCAUUCUAUUCCCCCUCUCGCCUUUUUGCCAGGGUUUUAUUUUAUCCUUUCUCAAUAUUCUGUGUCAUGGUUAUUACGGGACUGUUUGCAGGGUCUCUCUCCUCCCCUCCUGCACUUCCUACUUGUGUGUACCUCAGGAUUACUGUGAGUCUGCUGGAACUUCUCGUUGCAUUGGUGGUAAGCACAAGAAGACACUCAAUGUUUCUUCUUAAUGUAUAGGUGCUUAUAUGAUGCUUCCACAGUUUUAUAUUUGAAAACUUAAUACAUGUUCUAACGCAUGUAACAUGGUUGCAUUAGUUUUUGUUUAGGCCUCUUGGUUCCUAAAAUUAGGAUCACAAGUUACUCCUACAAAGUUGAAUUCACUCUUAUAUUUGGAGCAAACCUGCUUUAAACAAGGACUAAGGCUUUCAUCGUUCAGUCACUGAUUCCCAGUGGAGAAGAAAUUACACACAUGCUGAAGACCAUCUUUUACAGUUGGUGACUGACAAGUGUAGUUCAUGACACUGGCCCACUAUACCACUCAAUUGAGUCAAUCCAAAUAUGUAUAAUAGUAAUCCGUUACCAAUUAUCCGAGCUGUUUAAACCAUCACAAUAAGUCUGUCUUGGCUAUCUUACUAGUUGCAAGUCUAGAUCUUUGGACGAGAUCUAAAGAGCUGUUUAAACUCAUGCCGUGGGUUUGCAGUAGCCCAGUUAGUUUGAUUUCCCCACUUUGAGUAACUGAUCCCUAUGCCGUACGAAUAAAUCUGCUUCCAAGACUUCCCUCAGUUUCAAAAACAGUUUGCUGUGUGGUGGUGGAAGGGGAGUUAGUGCUCUGCAAAAAAGAAAAGUCUAAAGGUAUUUUUGGCUCACCGAACUGGUUUCACAGUUCUUUGAAGCCUAGCCUGUCUUCAUUUUUUGUUCAUUAUGAACAUUAUAGUGGACAUGUGUUUAUGUGAAU
RNAcentral lists this long non-coding RNA (2518 nucleotides) under Podarcis lilfordi (Lilford's wall lizard). Lineage: Eukaryota; Metazoa; Chordata; Lepidosauria; Squamata; Lacertidae. The record is from RNAcentral.